RNAcentral lists this ribosomal RNA (59 nucleotides) under uncultured bacterium. RNAcentral describes it as "partial 16S ribosomal RNA". The record is from RNAcentral.
AGGGCUUGACAUACAGCUGCACAUCCUAUGAAAGUAGGACUCCUUCGAGGGUGCUGUAC